CCUACGGGAGGCUGCAGUGAGGAAUAUUGGGCAAUGGGCGCAAGCCUGACCCAGCAAUGCCGCGUGCGGGAUGAAGGUCCUCGGAUCGUAAACCGCUUUUGUGGGGGAGUAGCAAGGAGAGUACCCCACGAAUAAGUCACGGCUAACUACGUGCCAGCAGCCGCGGUAAUACGUAGGUGACAAAUGUUAUCCGGAAUCACUGGGCGUAAAGGGUCUGUAGGCGGUUACUUAGGUCUGAUGUGACACCUCUCGGCUUAACUGAGAGAGCGCAUUGGAAACCGGGUGACUAGAAUCACGUCGAGGUCGGUGGAAUUCCCGGUGUAGUGGUGGAAUGCGUAGAGAUCGGGAGGAACCUCGAAAGCGAAGGCAGCCGGCUAGACGAUGAUUGACGCUGAGGGACGAUAGCGUGGGUAGCAAACAGGAUUAGAUACCCGAGUAGUC
RNAcentral lists this ribosomal RNA (441 nucleotides) under uncultured bacterium. RNAcentral's name for it is "bacterial SSU rRNA". It matches the Rfam family "Bacterial small subunit ribosomal RNA", at positions 338 to 795 of the family's 1533-position model. The record is from RNAcentral.